Molecule: ribosomal RNA, 721 nt
Filed under: Pseudomonas frederiksbergensis
Lineage: Bacteria; Pseudomonadati; Pseudomonadota; Gammaproteobacteria; Pseudomonadales; Pseudomonadaceae
Description: bacterial SSU rRNA
Rfam family: Bacterial small subunit ribosomal RNA
Source: RNAcentral
CGCAUACGUCCUACGGGAGAAAGCAGGGGACCUUCGGGCCUUGCGCUAUCAGAUGAGCCUAGGUCGGAUUAGCUAGUUGGUGAGGUAAUGGCUCACCAAGGCUACGAUCCGUAACUGGUCUGAGAGGAUGAUCAGUCACACUGGAACUGAGACACGGUCCAGACUCCUACGGGAGGCAGCAGUGGGGAAUAUUGGACAAUGGGCGAAAGCCUGAUCCAGCCAUGCCGCGUGUGUGAAGAAGGUCUUCGGAUUGUAAAGCACUUUAAGUUGGGAGGAAGGGCAUUAACCUAAUACGUUAGUGUUUUGACGUUACCGACAGAAUAAGCACCGGCUAACUCUGUGCCAGCAGCCGCGGUAAUACAGAGGGUGCAAGCGUUAAUCGGAAUUACUGGGCGUAAAGCGCGCGUAGGUGGUUCGUUAAGUUGGAUGUGAAAUCCCCGGGCUCAACCUGGGAACUGCAUUCAAAACUGACGAGCUAGAGUAUGGUAGAGGGUGGUGGAAUUUCCUGUGUAGCGGUGAAAUGCGUAGAUAUAGGAAGGAACACCAGUGGCGAAGGCGACCACCUGGACUGAUACUGACACUGAGGUGCGAAAGCGUGGGGAGCAAACAGGAUUAAAGACCCUGGUAGUCCACGCCGUAAACGAUGUCAACUAGCGGUCCCGAGCUUCGAGCUAACAGAGUCGGAGCAUCCGCCCGAAAUCAAGGCUAGGGGGACCGCAGC